GACGAACGCUGGCGGCGCGCUUAACACAUGCAAGUCGAACGGAAAGGCCUGCUUUCCCUUGUGGAUUGCGGGUACUCGAGUGGCGAACGGGUGAGUAACACGUGAGUGAUCUGCCCCCAACUUGGGUAUAAGCCUGGGACACUGGGUCUAAUUCCCGAUAGGACUGCAGGGUGGUGCCUGUGGUGGAAAACGAUUUUCUAGUGGUUGGGGAUGAGCUCGCGGCCUAUCAGCUUGUUGGUGGGGUAAUGGCCUACCAAGGCGGCGACGGGUAGCCGGCCUGAGAGGGUGGACGGCCACAUUGGGACUGAGAUACGGCCCAGACUCCUAAGGGAGGCAGCAGUGGGGAAUAUUGCACAAUGGGCGGAAGCCUGAUGCAGCGACGCCGCGUGGGGGAUGACGGCCUUCGGGUUGUAAACUCCUUUCGACCGCGAGGAAGCCACCUGGUUGGAAGGGUGGUGACGGUAGUGGUAGAAGAAGCACCGGCUAACUACGUG
RNAcentral lists this ribosomal RNA (494 nucleotides) under uncultured bacterium. RNAcentral describes it as "partial 16S ribosomal RNA". It matches the Rfam family "Bacterial small subunit ribosomal RNA", at positions 28 to 507 of the family's 1533-position model. The record is from RNAcentral.